Molecule: ribosomal RNA, 497 nt
Filed under: uncultured bacterium
Lineage: Bacteria
Description: partial 16S ribosomal RNA
Rfam family: Bacterial small subunit ribosomal RNA
Source: RNAcentral
GAUGAACGCUGGCGGCGUGCCUAAUACAUGCAAGUCGAGCGAACAGACGAGGAGCUUGCUCCUCUGACGUUAGCGGCGGACGGGUGAGUAACACGUGGAUAACCUACCUAUAAGACUGGGAUAACUUCGGGAAACCGGAGCUAAUACCGGAUAAUAUAUUGAACCGCAUGGUUCAAUAGUGAAAGACGGUUUUGCUGUCACUUAUAGAUGGAUCCGCGCCGCAUUAGCUAGUUGGUAAGGUAACGGCUUACCAAGGCAACGAUGCGUAGCCGACCUGAGAGGGUGCUCGGCCACACUGGAACUGAGACACGGUCCAGACUCCUACGGGAGGCAGCAGUAGGGAAUCUUCCGCAAUGGGCGAAAGCCUGACGGAGCAACGCCGCGUGAAUGAUGAAGGUCUUCGGAUCGUAAAACUCUGUUAUUAGGGAAGAACAAAUGUGUAAGUAACUAUGCACGUCUUGACGGUACCUAAUCAGAAAGCCACGGCUAACUACGUG